RNAcentral lists this ribosomal RNA (411 nucleotides) under uncultured organism. Its description in RNAcentral is "SSU rRNA". It matches the Rfam family "Bacterial small subunit ribosomal RNA", at positions 505 to 916 of the family's 1533-position model. The record is from RNAcentral.
GUGCCAGCAGCCGCGGUAAUACGGAGGGCGCGAGCGUUAAUCGGAAUAACUGGGCGUAAAGGGCACGCAGGCGGAUUGUUAAGUGAGAUGUGAAAGCCCCGAGCUUAACUUGGGAAUUGCAUUUCAGACUGGCAAUCUAGAGUAUUUUAGGGAGGGGUAGAAUUCCACGUGUAGCGGUGAAAUGCGUAGAGAUGUGGAGGAAUACCGAAGGCGAAGGCAGCCCCUUGGGAAUAUACUGACGCUCAUGUGCGAAAGCGUGGGGAGCAAACAGGAUUAGAUACCCUGGUAGUCCACGCUGUAAACGAUGUUGAUUUGGGGAUUGGGCUUUAAGCUUGGUGCCCGUAGCUAACGUGAUAAAUCAACCGCCUGGGGAGUACGGCCGCAAGGUUAAAACUCAAAAGGAAUUGACGG